Molecule: transfer RNA, 90 nt
Filed under: Pseudomonadota bacterium
Lineage: Bacteria; Pseudomonadati; Pseudomonadota
Also listed under: 1 other name
Description: Proteobacteria bacterium (bioreactor metagenome) tRNA-Ser
Rfam family: tRNA
About the family: Transfer RNA (tRNA) molecules are approximately 80 nucleotides in length. Their secondary structure includes four short double-helical elements and three loops (D, anti-codon, and T loops). Further hydrogen bonds mediate the characteristic L-shaped molecular structure. tRNAs have two regions of fundamental functional importance: the anti-codon, which is responsible for specific mRNA codon recognition, and the 3' end, to which the tRNAs corresponding amino acid is attached (by aminoacyl-tRNA synthetases). tRNAs cope with the degeneracy of the genetic code in two manners: having more than one tRNA (with a specific anti-codon) for a particular amino acid; and 'wobble' base-pairing, i.e. permitting non-standard base-pairing at the 3rd anti-codon position.
Source: RNAcentral
GGAGAGGUGGCAGAGAGGUCGAAUGCGCCGCACUCGAAAUGCGGUAUACCGGCAACGGUAUCGAGGGUUCGAAUCCCUCCCUCUCCGCCA